RNAcentral lists this ribosomal RNA (492 nucleotides) under uncultured bacterium. RNAcentral describes it as "partial 16S ribosomal RNA". It matches the Rfam family "Bacterial small subunit ribosomal RNA", at positions 29 to 507 of the family's 1533-position model. The record is from RNAcentral.
AGUGAACGCUGGCGGUAGGCCUAACACAUGCAAGUCGAACGGCAGCACAGUAAGAGCUUGCUCUUACGGGUGGCGAGUGGCGGACGGGUGAGGAAUACAUCGGAAUCUACUUUUUCGUGGGGGAUAACGUAGGGAAACUUACGCUAAUACCGCAUACGACCUACGGGUGAAAGCAGGGGAUCUUCGGACCUUGCGCGAAUGAAUGAGCCGAUGUCGGAUUAGCUAGUUUGCGGGGUAAAGGCCCACCAAGGCGACGAUCCGUAGCUGGUCUGAGAGGAUGAUCAGCCACCCUGGAACUGUAACACGGUCCAGACUACUACGGGAGGCAGCAGUGGGGAAUAUUGGACUAUGGGCGCAAGCCUGAUCCAGCCAUACCGCGUGGGUGAAAAAGACCUUCGGGUUGUAAAGCCCUUUUGUUGGGAAAGAAAAGCAGCAGGUUAAUACCCCGCUGUUCUGACGGUACCCAAAGAAUAAGCACCGGCUAACUUCGUG